Molecule: transfer RNA, 65 nt
Filed under: Drosophila serrata
Lineage: Eukaryota; Metazoa; Arthropoda; Insecta; Diptera; Drosophilidae
Description: tRNA-Cys
Source: RNAcentral
GGUCUUAUAGUCAUAGAAUAUGAUAUCAAACUGCAAUUUUGAAGGAGUAAAAUUUACUAAGGCUU